GGGGAAUAUUGCGCAAUGGGGGAAACCCUGACGCAGCGACGCCGUGUGAGGGAAGAAGGCUUUCGGGUCGUAAACCUCUGUCGGGAAGGAAGAACCCCCCAGGUCCGAAUCGGGCCUGGGGCUGACGGUACUUCCCAAGGAAGCACCGGCUAACUGCGUGCCAGCAGCCGCGGUAAUACGGAGGGGGCAAGCGUUGUUCGGAGUCACUGGGCGUAAAGAGCUCGUAGGCGGCAGUGUAAGUCGGGAGUUAAAGGCAACAGCUUAACUGUUGUAAGGCUUUUGAAACUACAUUGCUAGAGUACCAGAGAGGUAAGCGGAAUUUCCUGUGUAGCGGUGAAAUGCGUAGAUAUAGGAAGGAACACCGGUUGCGAAGGCGGCUUACUGGCUGGUAACUGACGCUGAGGAGCGAAAGCGUGGGUAGCAAACA
Molecule: ribosomal RNA, 427 nt
Filed under: uncultured Geovibrio sp.
Lineage: Bacteria; Pseudomonadati; Deferribacterota; Deferribacteres; Deferribacterales; Geovibrionaceae
Description: bacterial SSU rRNA
Rfam family: Bacterial small subunit ribosomal RNA
Source: RNAcentral